This 125-nucleotide small RNA is filed under the name Marmota monax (woodchuck). Lineage: Eukaryota; Metazoa; Chordata; Mammalia; Rodentia; Sciuridae. The record is from RNAcentral.
GCUGGGCAUGGUGGUGCAUGCCUGUAAUCUCAGUGACUCAGGAGGCUGAAGAAGGAGGAUCUCAAGUUCAAGGCCAUGCUCAGCAACUUAAUGAGACCCUAAGCAUCAGCAAGACCCUGCCUCAA